Molecule: ribosomal RNA, 273 nt
Filed under: uncultured Staphylococcus sp.
Lineage: Bacteria; Bacillati; Bacillota; Bacilli; Caryophanales; Staphylococcaceae
Description: partial 16S ribosomal RNA
Rfam family: Bacterial small subunit ribosomal RNA
Source: RNAcentral
ACGUUAGCGGCGGACGGGCGAGUAACACGUGGGUAACCUACCUAUAAGACUGGGAUAACUUCGGGAAACCGGAGCUAAUACUGGAUAAUAUUUCGAACCGCAUGGUUCGAUAGUGAAAGGUGGUUUUGCUAUCACUUAUAGAUGGACCCGCGCCGUAUUAGCUAGUUGGUAAGGUAACGGCUUACCAAGGCGACGAUACGUAGCCGACCUGAGAGGGUGAUAGGCCACACUGGAACUGAGACACGGUCCAGACUCCUACGGGAGGCAGCAGAC